This is a long non-coding RNA of Balaenoptera acutorostrata (minke whale), 361 nucleotides long. RefSeq lists it as uncharacterized. The record is from RefSeq and is a predicted model, not a curated record. The transcript is spliced from 3 exons. NCBI's taxonomy places the organism in Eukaryota, Metazoa, Chordata, Mammalia, Artiodactyla, Balaenopteridae.
AAAUGUCUUCAAUGGAUGGCUCUACGUGACUUUUCUUGGCUUAUAAUAGACCCUAUUAUUUUAUACUCUAACUUUUUUUUUUUUCCUUUCAAUAUAUUACUUCUAAGCUUGACUACACUGAAGCUCAUCUAUCACACUUUGGAUUACUCAGCCUAGCAAGCUGCCAUCUGCAAGCUGGAGACCCAGGAAAACUGGUGGUGUAAAUCAGUUGGAGUCCCAAGGCCUGAGAAACAUGGAAGCCCAGGGCAGAAGAUAGAUGCCCCAGCUCAAGCAACUGGACUUGCCUCAUGGGUGUGUCGUGGUGGAAAUAAAAGUGUAAAGGCAAAAACGCCGAAUGAUGACACUCAACCCUGAAACAGGC